RNAcentral lists this ribosomal RNA (720 nucleotides) under uncultured Staphylococcus sp. RNAcentral describes it as "bacterial SSU rRNA". It matches the Rfam family "Bacterial small subunit ribosomal RNA", at positions 61 to 763 of the family's 1533-position model. Lineage: Bacteria; Bacillati; Bacillota; Bacilli; Caryophanales; Staphylococcaceae. The record is from RNAcentral.
GUCGAGCGAACAGAUGAGGAGCUUGCUCCUCUGACGUUAGCGGCGGACGGGUGAGUAACACGUGGAUAACCUACCUAUAAGACUGGGAUAACUACGGGAAACCGGAGCUAAUACCGGAUAAUAUAUUGAACCGCAUGGUUCAAUAGUGAAAGACGGUUUUGCUGUCACUUAUAGAUGGAUCCGCGCCGCAUUAGCUAGUUGGUAAGGUAACGGCUUACCAAGGCAACGAUGCGUAGCCGACCUGAGAGGGUGAUCGGCCACACUGGAACUGAGACACGGUCCAGACUCCUACGGGAGGCAGCAGUAGGGAAUCUUCCGCAAUGGGCGAAGGCCUGACGGAGCAACGCCGCGUGAGUGAUGAAGGUCUUCGGAUCGUAAAACUCUGUUAUUAGGGAAGAACAAAUGUGUAAGUAACUAUGCACGUCUUGACGGUACCUAAUCAGAAAGCCACGGCUAACUACGUGCCAGCAGCCGCGGUAAUACGUAGGUGGCAAGCGUUAUCCGGAAUUAUUGGGCGUAAAGCGCGCGUAGGCGGUUUUUUAAGUCUGAUGUGAAAGCCCACGGCUCAACCGUGGAGGGUCAUUGGAAACUGGAAAACUUGAGUGCAGAAGAGGAAAGUGGAAUUCCAUGUGUAGCGGUGAAAUGCGCAGAGAUAUGGAGGAACACCAGUGGCGAAGGCGACUUUCUGGUCUGUAACUGACGCUGAUGUGCGAAAGCGUG